UUUCUGACUCAAAUCAGAUGCAUAGACGAGAAGACAACAACUAGAGUAGGCUCAGUAGUAUCUUUCAGAGACUUAUGAGAAAAUAAACAAAGAGAACAACAGGUUCAAGGCAAAUAGAGUGUGGAAACUAAUUUGAAACACAAGGAACACAUUUAAGCACAACGCGUCACUCAAAUAAGUUCAGAAGGGAAUAGGUGACAUAAGCUUUGGAAAAUAGUAGAUGAAGCAUGCUUAGCGUUUAAAACAAAAGUCCAGUAAAGGCAAACAAGGAUUAAAAACUCUCUAAAAACCAGUAAAGGAACAUACGAGAUACACAUGUAAAAGCAUGCUAAUAGAGACCAGUAGAAGAAAUAUAUAGCACAAAAAAUAGAAGUACAUUCAUAACACGGAAAACAUAAUGACACAAGAGAAAACUAAUAAGAAUAUGGCCUAGACAGAUUCACACAAAGAAAAUAAGAAGAAGAAGAAGAAGAAGAAGAAGAUGAAGAGACAGAAGUCGUUUUGAGACUUUUCAGAAAAUCCUAAAUCGAAAACAAGCUAAUUUUGAAAUAAAAAUAGGGGCAAAAGCUUAAAAGAUUGAAGAUAGCACAGAUUCACUGCAGAUCUAGGAAAAUAAAAGAAGAAGGAACCUCAAAUAGCUUUAGGGUUUCUCUGAAAUCCUAGAAAUUAGAAGGCUUGGAAUAAAGUCUGGUCUCGAGUCGGAGAAGGCCAUAGCUAGGCUCCUAAAGCUCAAAUACGCCGGAGCGAAGCCGGAGGGGCCAUAGAACCACGGAUCUGUAGAGGAUCUCAAUGGACGCCAUCGAGGUCAGACCUUGAAAUGCCGAACACCCAUGGCGGGGGUGAAUGAAGGUGAGUACAAGCUGUCCAUGGCUUUGGAAGUCAUGAUUUUAGGUGAGAUUGAGGUCGGAGAAGGGUGAGAAGGGCUAGGGUUUCGAGACCCUUCGAGAGAGUUUGAGAGGAGGAGAGGGUUUCAAAGGUGGC
Molecule: long non-coding RNA, 981 nt
Filed under: Nicotiana benthamiana
Lineage: Eukaryota; Viridiplantae; Streptophyta; Magnoliopsida; Solanales; Solanaceae
Description: long non-coding RNA (NBEN_LNC036984)
Source: RNAcentral